This 794-nucleotide long non-coding RNA is filed under the name Phasianus colchicus (ring-necked pheasant). Its description in RNAcentral is "lncRNA (ENSPCLG00000012429.1)". The record is from RNAcentral. Lineage: Eukaryota; Metazoa; Chordata; Aves; Galliformes; Phasianidae.
UCCAUACUCAAGGCUGCCUGCCAGCUUGAAAAUCUGGAUCCUGAUCAGCAAACUUUGAUGAGAAUCAAUUCAAUAUAACUUGCUACAUUAGCAGUUGACGUGAGAAUGAGCUCAGGGAGAUGAAAAGCCAGCACAGCUUCUGUUAGCAGUUAGACAAAACUGCUGCAUUUAUUUGUGCAUUUGCAAGAGGAAUAGCUUUUUGAUUCACUGGGCCUUCAACUUCUGUCCUUCCUCUACAAAGACAGACACAUGACCUGGCAAAUCAGAUCUUUCAGCUUUUGCCCAUUAGGGAGAUGUUUCACUACUCUACCUUAAGAGAUGUUUGGGAGCAGCUUCCUGGUGAGCAUUUGUUAACAUUGAAGCAUGAGUGUUGGUGAAUAACUGCAAAGAGGACUUCUCAGAGUGCGUGGAGAAAAGCUUCAGGGAUGCUGACUCAGCCAUUAGGGAAGCUAGACUGUAAAGAAGAUGAAUGUUGGUGUUGGAAGAGGAUCAACUUAUGGAGCAUGAGCCCAAUAAAUGAAAUGGACGUUCUUCUCUCCAAAGAGACUAUUUUUCUGGAAAUUGAGGGGUUUUUUUAGCUAAUAUAAUCAGUACUUUUCCCUGUGCUAAGAUACAUCAUAUGCUGCAGUAUGCAUUGUACAUUUGUCUAUGGUAUUUUAUACAAGUCUUAUUUCAGUGGUAAAUCUUAUAUGUUAAGAGUUUCCUUAUAUUUGGAUUACAGUUUGAAAUUGUUCAGAGCAAACUGAGACUAAAGAUCCUGAAGAAGCUAAUAAAAACUAUGACACAAAUGCUCA